RNAcentral lists this ribosomal RNA (379 nucleotides) under uncultured Saccharomycetales. RNAcentral describes it as "eukaryotic LSU rRNA". The stretch from base 324 to 379 matches the Rfam family "Eukaryotic large subunit ribosomal RNA", at positions 1 to 56 of the family's 3401-position model. Lineage: Eukaryota; Fungi; Ascomycota; Saccharomycetes. The record is from RNAcentral.
CUAUAGCGUAGUGAAUCAUCGAAUCUUUGAACGCACUUUGCACCUCGUGGCUCCUGUCACGAGGUAUACUUGUUUGAGUAUUCGUAGUCAUCUCACCUCUCCUUCGGGGCGGUGGACGCUGGGAUUCGAUACGCCGAUGCGAGUCGUCUCCUAAAAGUCAUGGCCCGUUCGUGGAAGGUCUCCGCAGUGACCUGACCGACCAUUUGGAUAACGUCCUACAAUUGUCGCGUCAGUGUCAACUACUGUGUUGAUCAACCUCGGCCAUCCGGAUCAAGCAGGCGUCACUAACCAGGCGCUUGUGCGAUCAGCUCUAACCUACCACUGAAUCUCAAAUCAAGUAAGGAUACCCGCUGAACUUAAGCAUAUCAAUAAGCGGAGG